CCAAGGAGUGCAACAUGCGUGCGAGUCUUGGGGUGACAAACCCGUCGGCGCAAUGAAAGUGAAGGCAGGCGUUGGUCUGCUUAGGCGAGAGCCUCCUCGGGGGCACAUCGUCGACCGAUCCCAGGCUACGCUGUGGCGGGAUUUGAGUAAGAGCGUGCCUGUUGCGACCCGAAAGAUGGUGAACUAUGCCUGAAUAGGGUGAAGCCAGAGGAAACUCUGGUGGAAGCUCGUAGCGAUUCUGACGUGCAAAUCGAUCGUCAAAUUUGGGUAUAGGGGCGAAAGACUAAUCGAACCAUCUA
Molecule: ribosomal RNA, 299 nt
Filed under: Cliona rhodensis
Lineage: Eukaryota; Metazoa; Porifera; Demospongiae; Clionaida; Clionaidae
Description: partial 28S ribosomal RNA
Rfam family: Eukaryotic large subunit ribosomal RNA
Source: RNAcentral